GUCUCUGUGGCACUAUCGGUUAGCACAUUUGGCUGUGAACUGAAAGGCUGGUGGUUCAAGCCCACCCUGGGAUG
RNAcentral lists this transfer RNA (74 nucleotides) under Cathartes aura (turkey vulture). It matches the Rfam family "tRNA". From Rfam's summary of the family: Transfer RNA (tRNA) molecules are approximately 80 nucleotides in length. Their secondary structure includes four short double-helical elements and three loops (D, anti-codon, and T loops). The record is from Rfam by way of RNAcentral. Lineage: Eukaryota; Metazoa; Chordata; Aves; Accipitriformes; Cathartidae.